RNAcentral lists this ribosomal RNA (529 nucleotides) under uncultured bacterium. Its description in RNAcentral is "bacterial SSU rRNA". It matches the Rfam family "Bacterial small subunit ribosomal RNA", at positions 28 to 526 of the family's 1533-position model. The record is from RNAcentral.
GACGAACGCUGGCGGCGUGCCUAACACAUGCAAGUCGAACGGAGAAUUUCAAGAAGUUUACUUAGAGAAAUUUUUAGUGGCGGACGGGUGAGUAACGCGUGGGUAACCUACCCAUAAACCCGGGACAACCCUUGGAAACGAGGGCUAAUACCGGAUAAUCUUAAGAAGUGGCAUCACUUUUUAAGAAAAGGUGGCCUCUGAAGAUGCUACCGAUUAUGGAUGGACCCGCGUCUGAUUAGCUAGUUGGUGGGGUAAAGGCCUACCAAGGCGACGAUCAGUAGCCGGCCUGAGAGGGUGAACGGCCACACUGGGACUGAGACACGGCCCAGACUCCUACGGGAGGCAGCAGUGGGGAAUCUUCCGCAAUGGACGAAAGUCUGACGGAGCAACGCCGCGUGUAUGAUGAAGGUCUUCGGAUUGUAAAGUACUGUCUUUGGGGAAGAAUGACUGAUUUGAAAAUAUUGAGUCAGUAUGACGGUACCCAAGGAGGAAGCCCCGGCUAACUACGUGCCAGCCGCCGCCGUAAAAC